UACAGAGGGUGCGAGCGUUACUCGGAAUUACUGGGCGUAAAGCGCGCGUAGGCGGCUUUUCAAGUCGAUUGUGAAAUCCCCGGGCUUAACCUGGGAACUGCAGUCGAGACUGUCUAGCUAGAGUAUGGGAAAGGGAAGUGGAAUUUCAGGUGUAGCGGUGAAAUGCGUAGAUAUCUGAAGGAACAUCAGUGGCGAAAGCGACGUCCUGGACCAAUACUGACGCUCAUGUGCGAAAGCGUGGGGAGCAAACAGG
RNAcentral lists this ribosomal RNA (253 nucleotides) under uncultured bacterium. Its description in RNAcentral is "partial 16S ribosomal RNA". It matches the Rfam family "Bacterial small subunit ribosomal RNA", at positions 524 to 776 of the family's 1533-position model. The record is from RNAcentral.